Poecilia latipinna (sailfin molly) is the source of this 1796-nucleotide long non-coding RNA. RefSeq lists it as uncharacterized. The record is from RefSeq and is a predicted model, not a curated record. Lineage: Eukaryota; Metazoa; Chordata; Actinopteri; Cyprinodontiformes; Poeciliidae. The transcript is spliced from 2 exons.
AGAGAGAGAGGGGACAAGAGAGAGAGAGGGGCGUCCUCAGUGUUUGUUAGUGCCGCUUUGCUGAGGAGGCACAAAGUGACACUUUGUUCCCCCCCCCAUCAGAAGCCCUGUGCAGGAGAACAGAGUGGCAUUCAUCACUUCUACUGACUGAUGCGCACAAAGCCUUGCAUUGUGGCUCCACAGCAAUAUGCACGUGUGAUUAGAAUGGUUUUGAGCACAAAAAGCCACAGCUGCUUAACGGGCAUUAUGGCCACAAAUGUCCAGUAUAUUAAAAGUCUGCCAUGCUCUGGCUUUCAGAGCCUGCCCUCUAGCUGCGGUAAACGAGCACAGUCUGGCAGUAAAAGCAAACAUUGCAAUGUAUUUCAAUAGCAAACAACAACUUCAUGCCUCAGCAGCACAUAGCUAAACAAAAUCCUCAGUACAAUACAGAGCUACGUUUAAUCAGAAUCAGAAUGGCUGUGAGGACGACGGCUACUCCCCUCGCUCGCCCCGUUCUCCAGUUUUGGCAGGAUCACACUGUAGCCUCACAGGGAUAUGGUAAUGAUGGAGCUUUACCGCCCUGACUGCUGCCUAUAUUAGAGCUGCACAGCACUUCAAAGACAGACGGUUCUCUGACUGACAAUGUGCAGGAAUAGAAACACCAAGCGAAGCAGCGCAAACAUGCCCUCGCACCAGUUAGUCACAGGUUUUCACACACGCACAGCCAACGGAGGCUCUUAACGACCGGUGCUUAAGUGAAUAAAAAGCCAGGGACACACACACACACACACUCAGCUAAGCUAAGCGACAGUGUGGCGGCUAGACUUGACAUGCAGUGAAGCAACCAUUCAGAGUUUAAUUAAGCAUUUUAUACGAUGGACCACGCUAAGAAAUUAAAAAAUUACGGGAAUGAAGUCAUAAAAUUAUGAGGAGUCGUGAAAUUAUAAGAAUACAGUUGUACGAGAAUAAAGUCGAAAUAUUACUUUAAUUUUAUUAUUACAACUUUAUUGUGGAGGUGCACUAAUAUGAAAUCUUGGGCUAAUAUCAGCAUCCGAUAUUAAUAUUGCUGUUCUGGCUGAUAACCGGUAUUUACCGAUAUUAUAUAUAUUUCACUAUAUUGUCACUAUAUUUUGACACUUUUGGGAAAUAAAACAAAACAACCGGUAACAGAAAGCAACCAAAUGAAAAUAAAUAUUGGUUGUUCAUAUUGGCCCAAUAUGCUAAGAAAUUACUAAUAUCCGCCGAUAGGACUUUGGCUACAUCAUAGUCAUCUCAUAUUUUUUGACUUUAUUCUUGUACAACUAUUCUCGUAACAUUAUCACCUUAAUCAGAUACAGGUUUAUUCUUAUAUUUCUACAAUUCUAUUCUAAUAUGUCAACUUUAUUGUCAUAAUAUUAUUAAUUCAUUCUUGUUAUUUUACAACUUUUUGUAAUUCUUUUUUUUUUCUUUUUUUCUUAGUGUGGCUCAAACAAUCUGUCGUAAUUUGAAAUGAAAUUUAUUUAGCCUACAUUUCUUAAAGGUAGGUUAUUAUAAUUCUGCAGAAGAGGAUCUAAAAUAGAUAAAAUACUAGGCCAUUAUUUUGUAGUUCCAGUCUUUUGCAGUGGCUAAUUAAUACGUUGCCUAAAAAUGGGUACGUUUUAGGUGAUUGAUUUGAACAGUUCUUAGCUGUAAACAUUUAGAGAUUAAAUUAAAAAUAAGGUGGAAUCUAUUAAUUAGGUUACUUCUGAUGGUAAUCGCUUCUACGGGACUUUAUUUAAGGGUAUUAGUAGAAUUGUGGGCCAACACAAAUAAAUGUGACCAUGUUUAGAUUCUUAGUA